RNAcentral lists this ribosomal RNA (301 nucleotides) under uncultured bacterium. RNAcentral's name for it is "partial 16S ribosomal RNA". It matches the Rfam family "Bacterial small subunit ribosomal RNA", at positions 509 to 809 of the family's 1533-position model. The record is from RNAcentral.
CAGUCGCCACGGUAAUACGGAGGGUGCAAGCGUUAAUCGGAAUUACUGGGCGUAAAGCGCACGCAGGCGGUCUGUCAAGUCGGAUGUGAAAUCCCCGGGCUCAACCUGGGAACUGCAUUCGAAACUGGCAGGCUAGAGUCUUGUAGAGGGGGGUAGAAUUCCAGGUGUAGCGGUGAAAUGCGUAGAGAUCUGGAGGAAUACCGGUGGCGAAGGCGGCCCCCUGGCCUAAUACUGACGCUGAGGUACGAAAGCAUGGGGAGCAAACAGGAUUAGAUACCCGUGUAGUCCCUGUCUCUUAUAU